Molecule: ribosomal RNA, 432 nt
Filed under: uncultured bacterium
Lineage: Bacteria
Description: partial 16S ribosomal RNA
Rfam family: Bacterial small subunit ribosomal RNA
Source: RNAcentral
CCUACGGGUGGCAGCAGUAGGGAAUCUUGCGCAAUGGGCGAAAGCCUGACGCAGCAACGCCGCGUGAGGGAUGACGGCCUUCGGGUUGUAAACCUCUUUCAGCAGGGACGCGGUACCUGCAGAAGAAGCUCCGGCCAACUACGUGCCAGCAGCCGCGGUAAUACGUAGGGAGCGAGCGUUGUCCGGAAUCAUUGGGCGUAAAGAGCUCGUAGGCGGCUUGGUAAGUCGGAUGUGAAAGCUCCAGGCUCAACCUGGAGUCGCCAUCCGAUACUGCCAAGCUAGAGUCCGGUAGGGGCCCACGGAACUCCUGGUGUAGCGGUGAAAUGCGCAGAUAUCAGGAAGAACACCGGUGGCGAAGGCGGUGGGCUGGGCCGGACUGACGCUGAGGAGCGAAAGCGUGGGGAGCGAACAGGAUUAGAUACCCUUGUAGUC